Molecule: ribosomal RNA, 109 nt
Filed under: uncultured eukaryote
Lineage: Eukaryota
Description: partial small subunit ribosomal RNA
Rfam family: Eukaryotic small subunit ribosomal RNA
Source: RNAcentral
UCGCUCCUACCGAUUGAGUGUUACGGUGCAUAAUUCGGACUGCAGCUUCGUUUGGGUCCCGAACGUUGCAGCGGAAAGUCUGGUGAACCUUAACACUUAGAGGAAGGAG